CAAAGGCCCCCAGCUGCCUGGCCCCUGGCCCACUAACCCAGGCAUGCUCCUUCCAGCACUGGGCAGAGGAGUCAGGAAGAUGCCCUUCCUCACCCCCACUGACGCCACCUCUCCAGGGACCUUAACGCAGGGGCUGGGAAUGGAAUCGGAAGCUAGAAUGAGCAGGCAGCAGCAGCUCCCCUAGGUAUCUGCCUCUGAGAGGACCUGAGGACAGAGGCGAGGCCCAAGGCAGAGGCCGGAGUAGGGCCCCGCUUCACCUGGGGCCUCAAAGGUGUCGUUUAUUCAUUUGGCAAAUCUCCACUGAGUGAGGAAAUGGAUGGGUGAGAGGAUGGGAUUAGAGAAUGAACAAAUGUCACCUGCAUAUUUUCCCAAUUCCAGCCUGAGCAGGAACCCGGCAGGAGCCAAGAGUCCUUUCAAGGUGGGAGAACACCAGGUAUUGCUGAUGGGGAAAGUGAGGUCUGGGAGGCUGGGUUGGGCCCAGUGGGGACAUGCAGAUGGUGGUGGGAACGGUCAGAGCCAGGUAGGUGGGCAGGUGUCAGACAGCCAUGAGGGAGGUGCUGCUGAGAAUGUGCACGGCCACAGUGCCUGGCAGGUUGCUGGGCUGCCGGCUAUUUCGGUCCCGGAGGUGGAGGGUAUGCAGGGCCUGGAGGUUGUCCGGGUCAGCCUUUAGGUGCACCUGGCCCAGAAAUUCAUCCUUCAGCAC
This 703-nucleotide long non-coding RNA is filed under the name Homo sapiens (human). RNAcentral describes it as "non-protein coding lnc-GDPD4-1:3". The record is from RNAcentral. Lineage: Eukaryota; Metazoa; Chordata; Mammalia; Primates; Hominidae.